GGGGAGCAAGAAAUUUUUUCAACCGGGUUAAUCUUAUAUAACAAUAAUAAUAGUAAAAUAAUAAUAUAUAAAAUAAUAAUUUUUGGAUAACUUGAUUUUUAAAUUUAUUGAUUAUUUCUGAAAAAUUGAAACAGAUUUGGAGUUAAAUAUUAUAAUUAGAAUUGAUAGUUUAAAUUAAUUGAUAUUGAAAUAUAAUCUAUUGACCGGGUGAUUGUGGUCGAGUGGUAAGGAGACGGGGCUGAGACACCAACAUGUUUCAGGUUCGAUCCACCUGCUGCGCGAAACUAAGUCACAAUUAUCCUAGUCACCCAACACGGAUAUGGGCCCAUGCUUUAGGGCCCAUUUGAAUACCCGGAGAGAGGGUCUAUCCGUGGGCUGCACCUCCCCUUAGGGAUUAGUCUGGGCUUCUCCAUGGGCUUGGGAUACCCCCAGGUUAAAAAAAAAAAAAAAAAAAAAACUAUUGACAUUUAUAUAGGUUAUUAUUUUACCCAAUUUUUACUAGUAUUAAAAUUAGAAUCAAAGGAUAGUUGUUUUAAUGUAUUUGAAAACAUCAAAGCUAUGAUAAUUUAUCUAAAAGAAAAAUACAUAACCUUAAUUUUAAAUUUAAUUCAUUAACAAUCGCUUUAAAUCUUUGUAUGUUCUGCAAUUCAAACAAGGGAAAUGAUACAAAUACGUGUUUUACUUUAUUUGGAAACCUAUUUUUUGUAGCUAAAAUUACUUAUAUGGGUUUAAAUUUUAGAUGAUAAAAUAGUAUUUAGUUGGAGUAACGUGGAUUUCACAAAAUAUAAGGGUCAAUCGAAAAUUUGUACCGGGAUAAAUGCUGUAAAUUUGGACAAAACAUUUUAGAUAAUUAAAUUAGUGGGGUCAGCUGACCCCCUCCCUUCUACAUGCCUCUGCCUAUGCCUCUGCAUAUAAAAAAAAUGAUGUAAAUGAAGGAACGCGGAUUAAACGCGAGUCCGAAAAAU
RNAcentral lists this long non-coding RNA (965 nucleotides) under Brassica rapa (field mustard). RNAcentral describes it as "long non-coding RNA (BRAP_LNC005077)". Lineage: Eukaryota; Viridiplantae; Streptophyta; Magnoliopsida; Brassicales; Brassicaceae. The record is from RNAcentral.